RNAcentral lists this unclassified non-coding RNA (1567 nucleotides) under Hevea brasiliensis (rubber tree). Lineage: Eukaryota; Viridiplantae; Streptophyta; Magnoliopsida; Malpighiales; Euphorbiaceae. The record is from RNAcentral.
UAGCCGUAUCUUUGAGUUGCUGCACACUCCAGCUUCUGGAUUUUCAGUAAUCACCCCAGCCAAUCUCCAACAAAUAGUGGAGGUGCUGUUAGAGAGUAUAAAAGAUGUUCCUCAUGUUGCUGAAAAAGUUUGUGGGGCUAUCUAUUUUCUUUCUCAAGGAUAUGAGGAUGCUGGGACAAGCUCGUCUCUGCUCACUCCAUUUAUAACUCAGAUUAUUAGUUCUCUUAUUACAACGGCUGAUCGGACUGACAGUGGUUCUAAGCUCAGAACCACAGCAUAUGAAACCUUGAAUGAAGUUGUUAGGUGCUCUAAUCUUUCUGAAACAUCUCAGAUUAUUAAUCACCUUUGCCCUGUUAUCAUGGACAAGUUGGCACAAACUUUUGAGCUUCAGAUUCUAUCCUCUGAUGAUAGAGAAAAACAGGGAGAUCUACAGGCUUCUCUAUGUGGUGUACUCCAGGUUAUUAUUCAGAAGCUAAGUAGUGCUGAUGAAACCAAGGCUAUAAUACUCCAAGUUGCUGACCAGAUCAUGACAUUGUUCCUGAAGGUUUUUGCCUGUCGUAGCUCAACUGUCCACGAAGAGGCUAUGCUUGCUAUUGGUGCGCUGGCCUAUGCAACUGGAUCAGACUUUUUGAAGUAUAUGCCAGAGUUUUACAAGUAUAUUGAGAUGGGGCUGCAGAAUUUUGAAGAAUACCAGGUUUGUUCCAUCUCAGUGGGGGUGGUUGGUGAUAUUUGCCGUGCAUUGGAUGACAAGAUCUUGCCAUACUGUGAUGGGAUCAUGACUCUUCUUCUCAAAGAUUUAUCUAGCGGUGAACUUAACCGAUCUGUAAAACCUCCCAUAUUCUCCUGCUUUGGGGAUAUUGCGCUUGCUAUUGGUGAACACUUUGAGAAGUACCUUCAGUAUGCAUUACCUAUGAUGCAAAGUGCAGCUCAAAUGUGUGCCCAACUAGACAAUAGUGAUGAUGAAAUGCUAGAAUAUGGCAACCAGCUCAGACGCAGUAUUUUUGAAGCAUACUCUGGACUUCUUCAAGGAUUUAAGAGUACCAAGGCCAACUUGAUGUUACCCCAUGCUCCUCAUCUCUUGCAGUUCAUUGAACUGGUUGCCAAAGACAGCCCAAGAGACGAGAGUGUAACAAAAGCAGCAGUAGCUGUGUUGGGAGAUCUAGCUGAUGCUCUUGGUUCCAGUGCAAAGACCAUAUUCAAAGAUCCUGCAUUUCUCGAACAGCUUUUGGGUGAGUGUCUUCAAUCCGAUGAUGAACAGCUGAAAGAAACAGCAACCUGGACACAAGGAAUGAUUGGGCGCGCUUUCUCUGUUUGUGGGUGAGCUGUAUCUUAGAGUUGCUCUUUAUCUAGGAAUCUUGUUUUUUUACCCAUCAUAUUGCCGAGGCUGAGUUGUCAGGUUACCAAGGUGGGGUUUAUAUAAUCAACUAAGCUUGCAUCUCUUGUGUUGGCUAUGAAAGUUGAAAUUCUUCCUUCAAAAUUUUUGGUAUGCAGACUUGUAGCUUCAAAAAGUGUCAAGGUCACCUUGCUGUUGUUAUAACUUUGUCUAGUCUAUAAUAUUACAAGUCAG